GAUCUAGCUUGCUAGAUGCUGACGAGCGGCGGACGGGUGAGUAAUGCAUAGGAAUCUGCCCGGUAGUGGGGGAUAACCUGGGGAAACCCAGGCUAAUACCGCAUACGUCCUACGGGAGAAAGGGGGCUUCGGCUCCCGCUAUUGGAUGAGCCUAUGUCGGAUUAGCUAGUUGGUGAGGUAAAGGCUCACCAAGGCAACGAUCCGUAGCUGGUCUGAGAGGAUGAUCAGCCACAUCGGGACUGAGACACGGCCCGAACUCCUACGGGAGGCAGCAGUGGGGAAUAUUGGACAAUGGGGGCAACCCUGAUCCAGCCCAUGCCGCGUGUGUGAAGAAGGCCCUCGGGUUGUAAAGCACUUUCAGCGAGGAAGAACGCCUAGUGGUUAAUACCCAUUAGGAAAGACAUCACUCGCAGAAGAAGCACCGGCUAACUCCGUGCCAGCAGCCGCGGUAAUACGGAGGGUGCAAGCGUUAAUCGGAAUUACUGGGCGUAAAGCGCGCGUAGGUGGCUUGAUAAGCCGGUUGUGAAAGCCCCGGGCUCAACCUGGGAACGGCAUCCGGAACUGUCAUGCUAGAGUGCAGGAGAGGAAGGUAGAAUUCCCGGUGUAGCGGUGAAAUGCGUAGAGAUCGGGAGGAAUACCAGUGGCGAAUGCGGCCUUCUGGACUGACACUGACACUGAGGUGCGAAAGCGUGGGUAGCAAACAGGAUUAGAUACCCUGGUAGUCCACGCCGUAAACGAUGUCGACCAGCCGUUGGGUGCCUAGCGCACUUUGUGGCGAAGUUAACGCGAUUAGUCCACCGCCUGGGGAGUACGGCCGCAAGGUUAAAACUCAAAUGAUUUGACGGGGGCCCGCUACAAGCGGUGGAGCAUGUGGUUUAAUUCGAUGCACCGCGAAGAACCUUACCUACCCUUGACAUCUACUUGAAGCCGGAAGAGAUUCUGGUGUGCCUUCGGGAACUGUAAGACAGGUGCUGCAUGGCUGUCGUCAGCUCGUGUUGUGAAAUGUUGGGUUAAGUCCCGUAACGAGCGCAACCCUUGUCCUUAUUUGCCAGCGAGUAAUGUCGGGAACUCUAAGGAGAUCUGCCGGUGACAAACUGGAGGAAGGUGGGGACGACGUCAAGUCAUCAUGGCCCUUACGGGUAGGGCUACACACGUGCUACAAUGCCCGGUACAAAGGGCUGUGAGCUCGCGAGAGUCAGCGAAUCCUUUAAAGCCGGUCUCAGUCCGGAUCGGAGUCUGCAACUCGACUCCGUGAAGUCGGAAU
RNAcentral lists this ribosomal RNA (1264 nucleotides) under Vreelandella boliviensis. RNAcentral's name for it is "bacterial SSU rRNA". It matches the Rfam family "Bacterial small subunit ribosomal RNA", at positions 72 to 1332 of the family's 1533-position model. The record is from RNAcentral. Lineage: Bacteria; Pseudomonadati; Pseudomonadota; Gammaproteobacteria; Oceanospirillales; Halomonadaceae.